GAUGAACGCUGGCGGCGUGCCUAAUACAUGCAAGUCGAGCGAACAGACGAGGAGCUUGCUCCUCUGACGUUAGCGGCGGACGGGUGAGUAACACGUGGAUAACCUACCUAUAAGACUGGGAUAACUUCGGGACACCGGCGCUAAUCCCGGAUAAUAUAUUGAACCGCAUGGUUCAAUAGUGAAAGACGGUUUUGCUGUCACUUAUAGAUGGAUCCGCGCCGCAUUAGCUAGUUGGUAAGGUAACGGCUUACCAAGGCAACGAUGCGUAGCCGACCUGAGAGGGUGAUCGGCCACAUGGGAACGGAGACACGGUCCAGACUCCUACGGGAGGCAGCAGUAGGGAAUCUGCCGCAAUGGGCGAAAGCCUGACGGAGCAACGCCGCGUGAGUGAUGAAGGUCUUCGGAUCGGAAAACUCUGUUAUUAGGGAAGAACAAAUGUGUAAGUAACUAUGCACGUCUUGACGGUACCUAAUCAGAAAGCCACGGCUAACUACGUG
RNAcentral lists this ribosomal RNA (497 nucleotides) under uncultured bacterium. Its description in RNAcentral is "partial 16S ribosomal RNA". It matches the Rfam family "Bacterial small subunit ribosomal RNA", at positions 28 to 507 of the family's 1533-position model. The record is from RNAcentral.